UGCGCCGUAUUCAGAGUAACGGUCCAGCUUCCUGGCAACACGAACCAGUCGGAGGAGCCGUGCCGUCUUCAACAAGCCAAUCAGAGUGGUCGUUUGGGAAAGAGAAGGUUAUAAAUGGCUCAGAUGGAGUAGCUGUCACUGGAAUGGACCACAGAGCGGGGAAACCAUAUGCUCCAAUGUGCCAAGAGCUCAUGAUAGGCCAUUGACGGACGUGACCACAUAAACAAGCGAGGAAUCGAGCCAACCCGCGUGCCAGCGAUUCAGCCUGUCGAAGGGAAUGGCUGCCACCAUGUCUAUAAGGAACCAGCCUUUAAAGUAAUGGAUGGCGAUCUUCCCCGGAUGGCUCACCACCUCCUCGUUCAAGUUGACGAAGGCAGCAGAGUACGGGGUGAGAAUGGCUGUGUAAAUCACCAGCAGCAGGAUGAGCCAGUCCCACACCGCUUUGAAAGGGCUGUAGUGCAGGAUGGUGAACUUAUCCAUGCGUGGCGUUUGGAGCAUGUAUUCUGGAAGCACAUCGGCACCCAGUGACAACACCUGGAACAAGAGAGGCAGGCAAAAACGCUCUCACGCAUCCAGGCAGGUAAUGUGAGAAUCGCUCAGUGAACGAGUCGAUGACUCUGAAGUGAGGACUCGUGUUGUUUGGAUGGGCUGUCAUCCACUUCCUUCACGGCUGGUCAGGAGACGGACACGUUACCAUGAGGUUUGACC
Cyprinus carpio (common carp) is the source of this 708-nucleotide long non-coding RNA. RefSeq lists it as uncharacterized. NCBI's taxonomy places the organism in Eukaryota, Metazoa, Chordata, Actinopteri, Cypriniformes, Cyprinidae. The transcript is spliced from 5 exons. The record is from RefSeq and is a predicted model, not a curated record.